GUACACUCCUGCGGGAGGCAGCAGUGGGGAAUUUUGGACAAUGGGCGAAAGCCUGAUCCAGCAAUGCCGCGUGAGUGAAGAAGGCCUUCGGGUUGUAAAGCUCUUUUGUCAGGGAAGAAACGGUGAGAGCUAAUAUCUCUUGCUAAUGACGGUACCUGAAGAAUAAGCACCGGCUAACUACGUGCCAGCAGCCGCGGUAAUACGUAGGGUGCAAGCGUUAAUCGGAAUUACUGGGCGUAAAGCGUGCGCAGGCGGUUUUGUAAGUCUGAUGUGAAAUCCCCGGGCUCAACCUGGGAAUUGCAUUGGAGACUGCAAGGCUAGAAUCUGGCAGAGGGGGGUAGAAUUCCACGUGUAGCAGUGAAAUGCGUAGAUAUGUGGAGGAACACCGAUGGCGAAGGCAGCCCCCUGGGUCAAGAUUGACGCUCAUGCACGAAAGCGUGGGGAGCAAACAGGAUUAGAAACCCCAGUAGUCCCAUGAU
RNAcentral lists this ribosomal RNA (479 nucleotides) under uncultured organism. Its description in RNAcentral is "partial 16S ribosomal RNA". It matches the Rfam family "Bacterial small subunit ribosomal RNA", at positions 331 to 801 of the family's 1533-position model. The record is from RNAcentral.